This is a non-coding RNA of Ictidomys tridecemlineatus (thirteen-lined ground squirrel), 2191 nucleotides long. Lineage: Eukaryota; Metazoa; Chordata; Mammalia; Rodentia; Sciuridae. The record is from RefSeq and is a predicted model, not a curated record.
AUUGAGCAGUUGUUAUUACCUUCACAAUAUUGUCCAUUCAUUCUGCCUCAUCUGUAAAUAAUUUAAUCACCCCAAAGAGACCCCUGUCCCAUUAGCUCUUGCUCCCCAUUCCUUUCUUCCAGGCCCUGGCACUCUGUAAUCUACUUUCUGUCUCCGUGGAUUCUCCUGUUCUGGACAUUCCAUAUCAAUGGGAUCACACACUACGUGGCCUUUUGUGUCUGGCUUCUGUCAGUCAACAUCUUUUUCGAGGUUCAUCCACAUUGUAGAGGGUGUCAGUGCUUCAUUCCUUUUGAUGGCUGAGUAAUACUCCAUUGUGUACUUUUGCUUUUUCAUCUUGGGUGGUCUCCACCUUUUGGAAAAUGUGAAUCUGCUGCUAUGAAUGUGCAUCUACAAGUAUUCGGGAACCCCUGGAGUGGAAUUGUGGGGUUGAUGAUAACUCCAUUUUAACCUUUGGUGGACUCACCCAACUGUUUUCCACCCCUCCCCCCAGCAAUGCGGAGAGAUUUUCCUCUCUUUCCUGCACACACCAAUACUUGCUAUUUCCUUCUUUUUGAAAUUGAUAAUAGCCAUCCCGGGGGAUGGGCAGUGGUACCACAUUAUGGCUUUGAUCUGCAUUUCCCUAAUGAGUCCUGAGUCAAGCUCUUCACAUCCUUGUUGAGUAUCUUCGUUGGAGAAAUGUCUAUUCAAGUCCUUGGCCCUUUUUAAGGGCGGCUAACUUUUUGUUGUUGAGUUGAAGGAGUUCUCUAGGCAGCCUGGCAGUGAACCCUCCUCAGCUAUAUGUCUUGCAACUCUUAUACCCUGUUCCGCCACAGCACCCAGCUCCUGCGGUGCAGUGGCUAUUUCCUGACCCACGUCCAGACCUUGCAAUAGCCCUGAACAUUGCCUUGCUCUCCAGAGGAGGAAACGGAAGCCCAGAGAGGUACUGAGACUUCCCAGCAGAGCCGGAUUUGAACCCAGGACCUCACCUCCCACCCACUGCUCUCUGCUACUUGCCGGAUGCACCAGCAAUUUCACUGGCUUUGUAUUUCCAGUUAUUUUUCCAACUGAUGAAGCCAAUUUUUUUUUUCAAAUUUCAAAUUUACUUGAAAUUGAAUGCAUUCUGCUGUCAUGUAUAACAAAUUAGAGUAAAUGAAUAAAUUAUUAAAAAUUAGUUGAAAAAUAAUUUUUUUGUGUGCCCCGAGUCCUCACCUUAGUCCUUAAUAGGUAAAAUGGUUUUGGGGGAGCCUAGGGGUGACUCCUCAUCCCCAGGUGGCAUUCUUUUUUUGCUGUGUGGCUUUGGGCUAGUCCCUUAACCUCUCUGGGCCUCCUCAUCUUGCAUAGGUUACAACUUCUGAUUCAUUCGUUCAUUCACCCGGCUGUUCAACCAACACACUUUUCCUUGUUUUAUAGGUGGGGUAGCUGAGGUUCAGCAACUCAUCCAGAUGAGCACCCUGUUCUUUUCCAGGACUUAAGAUACACAGAUGUAAAAUACACCUGCAUUUGUUCAUUUGACGAAUAGUGAUGGUACAACCACCUUGUUCCCAGCUUGGGAGGCUCAUGGUGACCAAGACAAGCUUUUUCUUCUGGGGCUCACAGCCUGGAGGAGGAGGUGGAAGCAUACAAGAAACGCACAAGGGACAAUUUCCUAAUCUGGCCAAAGGACAUUAACCGAGCUGUUUUAGGUUCAUCCUUAUUUGUUGGGGGUUGUGGGCACCCAGAUACCCUGGCCCGGCCCCACCCCUUGUGUGGGGGCGACUCCCCAGUUUAUGGUGUGUGCAUUCAAUCUGGAAAGUUGAGCCUUCAAGUGAGCCCCAUGGAGGAUGAUCUCACUCAUCUUGGCCUUGGGUCAAACCCCUCCAGCCCCCGCGGACCGGUCGGAGACUGGGCGGCAGUUGGCUGGGAUGGUUAGCAACCUUGCUGACGGGCUGCGAGCCCCGCGAUCCACCUGGAAGGACUGGCCUUGCUAUUUUCUGGAGGAAAGAAAUGGGGCUUGGAGAAGGAAGGUGACUGUCCCACAGUCACGAAGUCGAGAAGUGAGUCUAGACCGGAGGGUUUUAUUCCUAUAUUCUACUCUCUCCCUCGGGAUCCCCGGGGUGAAGACCUGGGAGACUCUUGGCCCUCUGUGGCGGUCACUGGCCCCCAGCGUCCAUGGCGCUAAAUAGGGAAAUGCAUCCCCGUAAAAUAGAAAUCUUUUAAAAGCUUGAAUAUGAAA